AAAUUCUGUUUGACGACCCUCCAGUCAGACAACCGAAGCGCUAAGGCUAAGGACCUCCGUGACUUGCUGCAAGUCACCGUCGACAUCCUUAGGGGUCGAGUCACUACUACCAGCAGCAAGGUCAACAAAAUGUUGCAAAACACCAAGAAGGGCACGGUGCCAAUGCGCGUCCCCAGUUUGUGUGAGGUGGAUUAUGACACCAUGGUGAGCGUCAUUAACAUAUGUGAUGCCAUUAUCAGGGAUUACCAAUGUGACGAGGGCAGGCAAUGGUCCAAAGAGCUACUCCGUUGGAUGGAUAUGGCACGUGAUCAUGUCAACGAGUGCAUCUCCGAGCUUGUUCACAUGCCUGCGGUGGGGGGUCUUGUCAAUGAAAACAAUGAAUUGGGCAUGCUGGUUAAACUGAACGCCGCCUUGGUAGCAGCCCAUAUGUUUCCCGAGUAA
RNAcentral lists this ribosomal RNA (441 nucleotides) under Triticum aestivum (bread wheat). RNAcentral describes it as "partial small subunit ribosomal RNA". The record is from RNAcentral. Lineage: Eukaryota; Viridiplantae; Streptophyta; Magnoliopsida; Poales; Poaceae.